UAGAAUGUGUCUUUUAUUCCAUGCCAGCUCCAUCUUAGUGUCAGGACAUUCAGAAGGUAGAAAAGCAAGGGAACAACGGCAGAAGUGACAAAGCCAAAGAAAUGUAGUGAGCAGAAGAUGAAGCCACACACAUGCUGGUGAUGGGACGCAAGCCCUGGAUAACACUGUUCUUAGAAGUUUAUUGCACUGACAGCUUUGGCAACAGCAUCAAAGACAAGCACGGGCAGAUGAAGAAUAGAAGUUCCAUGGCAUGUGUUGGAUAUCACAUUUCAGUUCAAGUGGAAAUCCUGCAAACGUCUCUGUGCGUUUCAACGCAUUCACUCUCUCUCUAAUUAAACCUGUUGUUUUCACUCAGCCAAAAAUAUUUUACUCCAUAGGUCACCUCAGCGGUUGUUAUAAGAAUGCUGCUGCUAUUGUUUACAGUCUGCUGAUAUUGUGUGGCACUACGCUACUAGACAAGUGACAACAUGCUGCUUACUGAUCUUUCCCCAUCCUGAAAAACUGGCAGAUUCUGUUGAUUGCGUUACACUUCAGAACCAGUUUUUUAUAAUUUAACAAUAGGCGACUGGAUGAUAUACUAGAGUGAUAAUAUGCUCCAUAUUCUUUGUGCAAUUUAAAAAGUAACCCACAUUCAGUAUACAUGCUUUCAAUAACAUGACUGAGCAGUCACGCACCCUGAUCCUGACCCCUGAUUUUGGUGCUCGUGGAUAUGACAUUUAUUAUUUACAGCAGUGCAACUGUGUGAGAGUACAUCUGAGUCUCUGGUGAGGCCCAAGUUCACUGCAGGCCCCUUCCACCAUUCUUAAAAUGUAAUUAUAGGGUGAAUUUUUUUUUUGACACAGGCAUUUGACAACUCUGUUUAAAUUUUCCAUUUGCGUAAUAUAUUGAGCAAAGAUGAUUUGUUAAUAUUCACAAGUUGUUAUUUAACAUAAUUUCUGAUUUUUGUAAAGAAAGAAGAAAAAAAAGGAGGGGCAUUAUUUUAAUUUAUUUAUUUUAGAUAAACGUAAAACCUACAAACAUUUAUUAUGUUAUAUAAAUAAAUAUCUUACAGUAGGAAUAAAAGUAUUUUAGUGUGGAAGUGUGUGAUUGUGUUUUGGCUUUUACAAUGAUGUAAAAGAAAAAUAAUGAAAACAACGAACUAGGCCAAAUAUUGAUGUUAUGUUGGACUACUCAAAGUGCACUGAAAUUUUACUCUCAAUUAUUACAAGAUAUAGCCCAGCUUAGUACACAUAUUAUGGACAAAUUUCAAACAAAACACAACUGAACUAAAACAAAAAUAUAAAUAUGAUUUCCCUAUAAAUAGGAUUUAGAAUAAAAAUUUCCACAUCUCUUUAAAAGUAUGCUAAAAGGUUAACAAUUUCCGUGUUCAAUUUUAAAUAAAUACAGCCCAUUUUUUAUGUAAAAGAGACAAGUACUAUUUUCCCCUCUAAUUAAGGGAUUUUAAUAAAAUAAAAUAAAGAUUAGGCCUGUGGGGUUUAUCUAGUAUAUGCUUUUUUCUAAAAGCAUGUAUUCCCUUAAGGCCAGACCUUAAUGUUGAGUGUGUGUUGAUGUUUAGAGAUGGCGCAGAUCCAGCGCGGCGCAGUCCACCCCAUCGGGACUGUAUUAGAUCUCUAAUUGAUGCCUCUCCCCUCGUCGCUGACAGUUACGCACAAACCAGGAUCAGGUCACGGAAUUUAGCGCGACCUGAAGAUGUGGCGUAGACCGCCUUCAGAGCCUACAGUGGAUUAAAAACAUAAUGAGAGCAUGGCUGAGAAAGUAAAACACACCAGGGCCAUAGGAAGAAGAAGACGAGAAGAAAAAGAAGAAAUCUCACACAACAAAUUCUUUUUUUUAACCAGUUUUGCUUUGUUUUAUUUUAUUAUUUGCUAUUUGCUACAUAAAAACACUAUUAGUCAACAUGUAUGAAUUUAUAAAAGCUUGGACUGAAAUAAGUUUGAGGAUGAAAUAUAUAAACAUUACAAGCUGAAUCAUUUUUGGAUGAUCUUUCUUACUGUGCUGCACUUUGACUAAACCGUCCUGUAAGUAUAUUGUUAUGUUUGUGUCAAACAGGAAUGUUAUAUGAAUUAUUUCUUCAGUUCCCCAGAAGUCACCUUUCUCUGUGGCCAAUAAAGGUGUUGACAUCGUCAUGCCAUUUGCGUGUAUUCUAAUGUUUGUGUGUGUUUGCUUGUUUUCAUGCUUGUCACAAAGAAAUAGAGAGUGGGAGGUCGGGGUGGGACUGCCAUCGCUGUUGAAUUUAUGAGUGUGUCGUGAAGCAUCUCUGACGCAGGCAGACUAAACAGAGUCUGUGCGUACACGUAAACACAUACAUACAUCCUGCCCUCAUCAGAGAAGACAUCACGGGACAUGAAAAACAGCACAAAGCCAAACUGUGGAAUUAAUCAUAAAGAUGAGUUCUAUUUUAUCCAUUGACCAGUCGAACUUAAGGCCGUGUGGCUGCUGCGUGGCUGCAGCUCUUAAAAGGAAAAUUAUACUGGUGUCAGCAGAAAACGUAACUGGUAAAGUCAUGUUUAUAGUGAAACAGUCCUCAGACUCACCCACCCAUCCCCAUCCUGCAACCCCUCACUGUGGUUUCUCUUUUUGCACCUUGUGUUUUGCUUUUGUUGUAAGUUUCUUCCCGGCACUGACAAAAGGGGACAAUGUUGUCUGUUACAUAAGACCAACCUAGUAUUGUUAAGAGUUGGGUGACUUUGGAAACAUGCAUUGCACUUCUUGAUAUGGAAGAUUAGGCUCGGAUGAGGAUGUUCAUUCCCCCUCCUUUUCAUCUAUGUUAAGACUAGCAUGCCAGCUCUCUGACUAAGAGUGAAGUGCCGACACCCCUGGAGUGGAUUCUGAGCAUACCAAGGAGGAGAUGCCUUUGAAAGGACAGAUGUUCCUGGGCUUAGCCUGCCUCCUACCCAACCUACCCACCACUCGCCUUCCAUUGUAUAUUUGUUCUUGCUCUAUAAAUAACUGGCCGGUAUAAGUCACAGAAAAAUGUAACCGAUGCGCCGCUGACCUCUGAGCCCCUCAUCUUUGGGAGUGAAAGACACUUUGAAAAGAAGCAACUAAAGCAUUAGAAAAGUUGGCUGAUGCAGACAUGGUAAAUGGAUUUGGGCUAAGGGACACAGUGAGCACACCCAUUUUGUCCACAUAAAGACCGGUCUUGAUGUCUGGACCGGCUCAGCUGUCUUAUGUAACAGCAGUUUGUAGUCGUGACAGAUGAGGCGUGAUGGGCUCAAGCCAGUUCAGCCACAUAAUCCAAAAAUAUACCAGCCGUAUUUAUGGGAUAAUAUAAGCGUAUUUGGAGUUCUUAAAAUUUCAAAACUGAAAGCCAAGUUUGCUUGCCUGAGAAUUUCCAUGUCGGUGGAAAGAAAAUGAUACACAAUAAAAAUAUUUAAAAAUAUUUAUAAUAUUUAAUUUUUCACCAAAACUUCUGUGCCACUUCAAGUACCAAAACGAUCACGUGUUGCUAGUUUCCACUUGAAGCCUUUUUGCAAGUUUUGUGAGACUGCAGAGUGUUUGCCCUCUCGCAGUGGCUGCAGGGAUGAAUGGAUGAUUGUUCUUUGGCCCUUGUGACAACCCUCCUGGGGCCCAUCAAUUCGCCGAGCCUCCUGGAACAUCAGGUCAUGGCUAACCAGGCUCUGAAGCGGCAGCCUGGCCUCACUGUGCUGAUUUUUCCCCAGUUAGAGCUCAGGACCUCCAGGGCGCACAGCUGGGUCCCUUAAAAAAGCCCAGCUGAAUGGUUUUAGAAACACUGCAGCUCCUCUUACCCCACACUCACUCUCCAUCGAGAACAGCGCCGAUAUCAGAUACUGUGUUUUUUACUUGAUAUGUUCAUCUUUGCUUGCCAAAGCCCCUGGAAACCGUAUUAAAGUCUGUGUUCCAUAUUUUCAACCAAUGGGCCUCUUUAAGUCGAAGAAUUUGUCCAAAAUUUCCAUCAACCCCUUUCUCCUUUUCUUUUCCCACAUUUUUCUCCACAUGUCUACAUUUCCCUGCCUCUUCCCCACAUGCUCACACACAUCUUAAUUUUCUCUCUUCCCCCCUCCAGCUCUGCUAUCGUGUUGUAUCAGUUACAGCUGACCACCAGUCAGGUGGGUCUGCGGGAGAUUUUAGAUCACGGAGGGGCAGCCAGCUCUCUCAAUGCCUUCAGCCUGCUCCUAGACUCGAGUCCCAGGCCCCGCUGAGGCCUUGUCAUGGGCAGCGCAAAGAGACACCUGGCCAAACUACAGAAACACUUCCAGCUGCAGGCUGCCUGAUGCUCACCACAGAGAGAAUUCAGGCCAAAGGUGGAGAAGUGGAGCUCAACUAUUUCUCUGGGUUUGAGUCCAUAUCGUGUUUAUUUUAAUUGCAGCACCAAGCAUUUGCCUGUAGAAUCUGAGGCUGUUUUUCUUUUUCUUUAAAAAAAUAACAAUUGCACAACAUCACAAUAAAAUUCUCAUUCCACAAAACAAAGUGAAAGAGCUUUAAGACUUCUCUCAAAGUGAAAGUGGAGCAACUCAAGGGGCAGAGAAAAAAAAACGCCUGAGAGAGAACAACAGCUCCCUUUUCUCUGCAACCAGUUGACAUGAAAGACCACAUUAUGUCUGAGAUUAGAGGCAAUUACACUGGGAGUGCGCUUCAAGACCUUUGUUUGCCAACAUGACAGGAGGGAGCAGGGCUGUAAUUUGAUGAGGGGGCUGCGCGAGUGAGAAACUCUGCAUGGCAAGCUCCUGGCAGACGGGAGGCAAAGAGAAGCCUUUGUC
Molecule: long non-coding RNA, 4721 nt
Organism: Haplochromis burtoni (Burton's mouthbrooder)
Lineage: Eukaryota; Metazoa; Chordata; Actinopteri; Cichliformes; Cichlidae
Exons: 3
Source: RefSeq, a predicted model, not a curated record